CCCCUAGUAACUGCGAGUGAAGCGGGACAAGCUCAAAUUUAAAAUCUGGCAAUCUUUGGUUGUCCGAGUUGUAAUCUGGAGAAGUGCUUUCCGCGCCAGACCGUGUAAAAGUUCCUUUGGAAUGAGGCGUCAUAGAGGGUGAGAAUCCCGUCUUUGACACGGACAACUGGGGCUUUUGUGAUGCGCUCUCGAAGAGUCGAGUUGUUUGGGAAUGCAGCUCAAAAUGGGUGGUAAAUUCCAUCUAAAGCUAAAUAUUGGCGAGAGACCGAUAGCGAACAAGUACCGUGAGGGAAAGAUGAAAAGCACUUUGGAAAGAGAGUUAAACAGUACGUGAAAUUGUUGAAAGGGAAACGCUUGAAGUCAGUCGCAUCUGCUAAGGAUCAACCUUGCUUUUUUGCUUGGUGCAUUUCUUAGUUUGAUGGGUCAGCAUCAAUUUUGACUGCUGGAUAAAGGGCAGAGGAAUGUGGCAUCCUUUUUGGGUGUGUUAUAGCCUUUGCUCACAUGCAGCGGUUGGGAUUGAGGAGCUCAGCAUGCCUUUAUGGUCGGGGUUCUACCCACGUAACAUGCUUAGGAUGCUGGCGUAAUGGCUUUAAGCGACCCGUCUUGAAACACGGACCAAGGAGUCUAACAUGCCCGCGAGUAUUUGGGUGGAAAACCCAGAUGCGCAAUGAAAGUGAAAGUUGAGACCUCUGUCGUGGAGGGCAUCGACGCCCGGACCAGACCUUCUGUGACGGUUCCGCGGUAGAGCGUGUAUGUUGGGACCCGAAAGAUGGUGAACUAUGCCUGAAUAAGGGUGAAGCCAGAGGAAACUCUGGUGGAGCUCGUAGCGAUUCUGACGUGCAAAUCGAUCGUCAAUUUGGGUAUAAGGGGGCGAAAGACUAAUCGAACAUCUAGUAGCUGUUCCUGGCGAGAUUCCCUCAGAUAGCGAGCUCAUUAGAUUAUUUGGGAAGCGAUGAUAGGCCCUGGGGGUUGAACACCUACCUAUUCUCACUUUAUUAUGUAGACAGCCGUCCCUUGAUUGACGUCGCCAUGU
This 1033-nucleotide ribosomal RNA is filed under the name Amylocorticium cebennense. RNAcentral describes it as "partial large subunit ribosomal RNA". It matches the Rfam family "Eukaryotic large subunit ribosomal RNA", at positions 77 to 1110 of the family's 3401-position model. Lineage: Eukaryota; Fungi; Basidiomycota; Agaricomycetes; Amylocorticiales; Amylocorticiaceae. The record is from RNAcentral.